AGGACGAACGCUGGCGGCGUGCUUAAAACAUGCAAGUCGAACGGGGGCUUCGGCCCCAGUGGCAAACGGCUGAGUAACGCGUGGGUGACCUGCCUGGAAGUGGGGAAUAACUGCCCGAAAGGGUGGCUAAUACCGCAUGUGAUGGCGAGACCGAUCUCGUCAUGAAAGUCUUCGGACGCUUCGAGGAGGGGCCCGCGUUCGAUUAGCUAGUUGGUGGGUAACGGCCUACCAAGGCGACGAUCGAUAGCUGGUCUAAGAGGAUGAUCAGCCAGACUGGGACUGCGGCACGGCCAGACUCCGUACGGGAGCAGCAGGUUACGGAAGUUUGGGACUAAGUGGGACGAAAGCCGUGACCAGCAACGCGCGGUGGUGAGUGAAGGUCCGUACGGUCGUAAACGUCCCGUUUUUUACGAAGGGUAAGUAAGUAACGUA
RNAcentral lists this ribosomal RNA (432 nucleotides) under uncultured soil bacterium. Its description in RNAcentral is "bacterial SSU rRNA". It matches the Rfam family "Bacterial small subunit ribosomal RNA", at positions 26 to 464 of the family's 1533-position model. The record is from RNAcentral.